GACGAACGCUGGCGGCGUGCCUAAUACAUGCAAGUGGGACGCAAGGGAACACACUGUGCUUGCACACCGUGUUUUCUUGAGUCGCGAACGGGUGAGUAACGCGUAGGUAACCUGCCUAUUAGCGGGGGAUAACUAUUGGAAACGAUAGCUAAUACCGCAUAAUAUUAAUUAUUGCAUGAUAAUUGAUUGAAAGAUGCAAGCGCAUCACUAGUAGAUGGACCUGCGUUGUAUUAGCUAGUUGGUAAGGUAAGAGCUUACCAAGGCGACGAUACAUAGCCGACCUGAGAGGGUGAUCGGCCACACUGGGACUGAGACACGGCCCAGACUCUACGGGAGGCAGCAGUAGGGAAUCUUCGGCAAUGGACGAAAGUCUGACCGAGCAACGCCGCGUGAGUGAAGAAGGUUUUCGGAUCGUAAAGCUCUGUUGUAAGUCAAGAACGUGUGUGAGAGUGGAAAGU
RNAcentral lists this ribosomal RNA (458 nucleotides) under Streptococcus mutans. RNAcentral describes it as "bacterial SSU rRNA". It matches the Rfam family "Bacterial small subunit ribosomal RNA", at positions 28 to 463 of the family's 1533-position model. The record is from RNAcentral. Lineage: Bacteria; Bacillati; Bacillota; Bacilli; Lactobacillales; Streptococcaceae.